CUACGGGGCGCAGCAGUUAGGAAUAAUCUACAAUGCGCGAAAGCGUGAUAGUUUGAGCCAGAGUGCGUUUCUAUUGAAACGCUUUUGCUAAAUAUAAAAAGUUUGGCGAAUAAGGACUGGGUAAGACUAGUGCCAGCCGCCGCGGUAAUACUAGCGGUUCAAGUCGCAGCCAUUUUUAUUGGGUCUAAAACAUCCGUAGCUUGCUUAAUAAGUUUCUUGUGAAAUCUUAUAUCUCAAGUAUGAGGCGUGCAGGAAGUACUGUUAAGCUAGAGACUGGAAGACGUAAGAAGUACGUUCGAAGUAGCGGUAAAAUGUUUUAAUCUCGGACGGACUACCAACAGCGAAGGCAUCUUACGAGGACAGUUCUGACAGUAAGGGAUGAAGGCUAGGGGCGCAAAACGGAUUAGAUACCCCAGUAGUC
This 421-nucleotide ribosomal RNA is filed under the name uncultured archaeon. Its description in RNAcentral is "partial 16S ribosomal RNA". It matches the Rfam family "Archaeal small subunit ribosomal RNA", at positions 323 to 746 of the family's 1478-position model. The record is from RNAcentral.